This 31-nucleotide non-coding RNA is filed under the name Rattus norvegicus (Norway rat). Lineage: Eukaryota; Metazoa; Chordata; Mammalia; Rodentia; Muridae. The record is from RNAcentral.
UGGUGGUUUUAAAGAAAGGACUAUCUCCCUU